This 291-nucleotide ribosomal RNA is filed under the name uncultured bacterium. RNAcentral's name for it is "partial 16S ribosomal RNA". It matches the Rfam family "Bacterial small subunit ribosomal RNA", at positions 44 to 334 of the family's 1533-position model. The record is from RNAcentral.
GUGCCUAACCCAUGUAAGUCGAGCGAUCUCGUUAGCAAUAAGGAGAGAGCGGCGGAAGGGUGAGUAACACGUAGGAGACCUACCUCAUCGCCGGGAACAACCCCGCGAAAGCGGAGCUAAUACCCAGAAGGCUCGCCUCUUCGGUGAGGCGAGGAGAGUGCGCGAAAGCGUGCGUGAUGAGCGGGUCCUGCGGCCCAUCAGCUCGUUGGUAGGGUAGCGGCCUACCAAGGCAACGACGGGUAGGGGGUCUGAGAGGACGAUCCCCCACACUGGAACUGAAACACGGUCCAG